RNAcentral lists this long non-coding RNA (1346 nucleotides) under Carica papaya (papaya). Its description in RNAcentral is "long non-coding RNA (CPAP_LNC008686)". The record is from RNAcentral. Lineage: Eukaryota; Viridiplantae; Streptophyta; Magnoliopsida; Brassicales; Caricaceae.
AGUAAUUAUGUAUAAGGCAUCGAGGGGUGCCGCCCCUUUACAAAAUUUGUAGAUCUAAUAAAAUAUCAAAAACUUCCCCAAAAUCAUUCCACCCAUAAACAUCAGCAAUGCACUUAUAUAUUAUGAGCCAUCUACUUUUAACUGAUAAAGAACUCCAUCUUAGGAUGCCCAAUCUAUGGAACUAGCUGCUUGUUUACACCAAAUUAUGGGAAUAACCCCCAGAAGAAAACGCCUUAGGCCAAAAGAAUAACAUUCAGUACCAAGCACCAGAAUAUGUCAAAAUAAUGUAGUUCUAUAUCUAGGGGCUUUCCAUUCGCAUGGACCGCCUUCCCUUUGUUGGAGCCUUUCUAAACAACAAUCUCUCCAAUAUGAACCAUAAUUUAAUAGUAGUGAUUCAGGGUGAUGCUUGAUAAAAUAAUUCUAAAAGCUAAAGGAUAUCUAGUGUUUUGUUAUUAUUCUUAUUGCUUAGCCUUUUAGGUAGUUUAUUUGGUGCAACUCUGGCGUAGACAGUCAUUAUCUCAUACUUAGAUCUUAAUAAAUCUUUCUAACUGCGCACAAAUAAUGCUAAAUCUCCAACAACUAGUUCUUGUGAGAGUAAGCCUUUAGUAAGUUGCUGCUAUUAUGGUUUAUCUAGCUAUCUAUUAUUUUCUAAUUCUCUGUUUGCCAAUAUAAAAGAGAAGUUCAUAAGUGGAGGACAAAUUAUCCAAACAACUACCAUGAUGAAUAGCAGCCUGCUGUAUUUUAAAUUCUGUAUUUGUAUAAAAACAUAUAGCAUUCUUGAAAAAAAUUAUGUAAAUCACAAACAGGUAAAAUUAGGUAAAGUACUCAAUAUUUUUAUGAAUAUUCCAAAUUAGCACUUACAACUUUAAUAGAACUAUUUCAAAACUUGCAGUUUUUAGAUGUAAUAAAUUAAACUUACGGUUUCCACAUGUAACAAAUUAACAUACUGAACUGGAAAAACGUGUCAGAAACUCUCACAUUUUACACAUCUAGCUAAUGGCGAUUGACUUAGUUUGAUCAUUAAGUUUCUAAUGGUAAUGAUUUAAUUCAUACAAGUAAAUUAUAUAAGAGCUAAUUUUAAGCACGUUUUACCUAAUUAGCUUAGUUAUUGAUUUCCUAGUUAAUAAUGAUUUAGUUAAUACACAUGUGAAGUGUCUGAAGUUAAUUUUUGUUAUAGUUUUACCCCGAGAAGUAAUUGGUGGGAGAUAAUUUGAUACUGGUUAAUUUUCUAUGCACAAAUAAUUUUCUGGUUAAUUUCUUGUUUUCUUUUUUGUUCUUCUUUCAUGAGUUCUCCAUCUUUUGUAUUUUGUUCUGCCUUUCUUAGUAAUCCUUCUUUUGUAUUUUCU